Molecule: transfer RNA, 363 nt
Filed under: uncultured Microcystis sp.
Lineage: Bacteria; Bacillati; Cyanobacteriota; Cyanophyceae; Chroococcales; Microcystaceae
Description: partial 16S-23S ribosomal RNA intergenic spacer
Rfam family: tRNA (bases 135-208)
Source: RNAcentral
AAGGGAGACCUAAUUCAGGUAGGAGACGAAAAAAAAGUAGUCGCUACCAAGAAUCAAUCCCAAAAGGUCGGAGCGAGGCGAAAUUGGCUUUCAAACUAGGUUCUGGGUUCACACAAGACCUGAAUCAGGAACAAGGGCUAUUAGCUCAGGUGGUUAGAGCGCACCCCUGAUAAGGGUGAGGUCCCUGGUUCGAGUCCAGGAUGGCCCACCUGUACAGGUGGCAAAAAGAAAGAAAAGAAGCGAGGAAUCAGCGCCUUAUCUUACUGACAUAGUAAGAGAGAAUGCUGGCUCUGAGUAAAGAGUCCAGAGGAACCUUGAAAACUGCAUAGAGCUAGGUGAAAAAGCCAAAAAAGAAGACCGCAA